RNAcentral lists this long non-coding RNA (11134 nucleotides) under Zea mays. RNAcentral's name for it is "long non-coding RNA (ZMAY_LNC002463)". The record is from RNAcentral. Lineage: Eukaryota; Viridiplantae; Streptophyta; Magnoliopsida; Poales; Poaceae.
GAGUAUUUUGGACAAUUAAUGCGGGUUCACAUGUUACGUAAGCCAAUUUGGUAAACUGGGCGGCUAUGACAUGAAAUUAAUUCACUAUACAUACAAUAAAAGAGGAAGCCUAACGCUUGAAUUACUCAGGGAGUCCGGCAAAGCAAGCCAAAAAUAAAGUGGAAAAACAUUUCCAAUUAAUAAAUAAUGUACGUAGAAAGAUCACCAUUGUAGAAGUAGUCACAUCCAAGUAAGUUGUAGUACGCUGAUAUGAUAUCUCCUCGGGAGCAAGAUGUCGAUGGGGGGAGCUUGACGUUUAGCGAUCAAUGCCAGGCAUUUCAAUUCCGAAAAGACAUUGAACUUUUUACAUACGUAAGAUAGAGUCGAGAGAACUUCUCUUCGCUUAGUGCACUCAUGAGCAAAAAGUAAGAUCUUUGUGGUUGGUAUGCGCUGGGAUUUCAGAGGUACUUGUAUUCUAACCACUGCUCGCUGUUCUGAUGUGAAUUCCAGUUCAGAGACCGGUAGGCGGGGCGGGAUAGAAGCUUGAUGCCUGGCAGGUAAUCGGACAAUGCUUCCUAAAGAAAGAGGAAUUUCAUUUACCAGAUUUGAUGGAGAAAGUGAAUACUUUUUCUUUUGAGCUAAGCAAUAGAUAAAAGCACUGCUUAUGGUGUGAAAAGGGGGAACCAACCAAGCACCAUAUUCAUAUGCUUCCCAGUAUGAAAUGGCACAGGAGAGUCUAACGAGGAAGACUAGAGCCCACUUUCAAGCAAAUCCACCUACAAUGUUCAACCGGACAGAAUCAGGGGGCAGUGUCGAACUGGUACGGGAAGGAAUGGUGGGAUUGGAGCAAAUUCCAGAAAUGCCCUUAUGGAGCAAAGGUACGCAUUGGGUCUGUUUUUUUAUUGUGGGGAGGGGUCACCAAUUUACAAAUGGGGGAAUGCACAUGUUAGAAGGUCUGGAAGUGGAAGGUGAAUUGGAUUGAUUAGAAAUGAUGAAGGUAGCUAGGAAGAAGGCCAGGUUACAGAAGCAUUGAUGUGCUUGCAUGCCACAUAAGGGAGGGAACCCAAACCUCAAAAGCAUGAGAUUCAAAGAAAAGAAACCUAUAUUUGCACUAUUGGAUAACGGAAGUAGACAUAGUUUUUUUGAUCCAUCAGUGCUUGUAGGCUCUGGUUAUCAAAUUACUAGAAUGAGCCCUGGUUGGCUAACGGUAAUCAAAAGGGUGAAAGAUACUCCGUGCAAGGCCCUCCUCUACUCCCAGCCAAGAGUUUGAAGAUGAUCAAAUCCUUUUUUACCUAGUUCAGGGCAUAGAUCGUUUGCUAAUGAUUCGAGGCUACCUACUAACAGUUGACAAGAGUCGCGAAAUCAAAUACAAUGCCUGUCUGAAGAUCUCCGACUUGCUGAUAUCCAUAGGUUGUUUUACGGAUGUUGUGAACAAGCUGAGGGAUUUUAUCCUACAAUACUACACUACAGUCUUCUCGACAAGGGAUGACUGGUUACUUUUUUGAAUCAUUAACACAACGCUCCGCGCCUAAUUCGUUGCUUGCCUUUUGUCUCGAAGAAGAAGUCUUCCUUUCUUAUCCCUAGAUUGAAACAAUCAAAUACUAUUUUUACCUAGCAUAUGUCCAAAAGGCAAAUGCUUCACACCAUCUUGUCGUACUAUUUUGCAAAGUGAAUUUCAACACACCCGAUUUGUCGUUCUAGUUUGAAUUGAUAAUGCACCUGAGUAACAAUAGAAGUUCUUUUCGAAGUAAACAGUUUGUGAUUAUCCUCCUAACCCAGCUCCCGAUGAUGGUGAUGUCAAUGACAAACUGAUUUCUCCUUUUUUAAACCGACUAGAAAUUACUAGUCAUUCCAAAGAAAGCCUCAUUUCCACUAGUGUCUCGAGUGGCCUUGCCUUUGGUUCAACGACCGGAGGAAGGAAGCUAGCUCUUCAUUGAGCUGUCCCAAGGUAUUAGGCUUUAAGAGGUAAGGUUUGUUGCUAGCUCUAAGAUUAGUAGGCUUGAUAUGAGAUUCCAGUUAUCAAUCUUGUUGUAGUAAAGCUGUUUACCGAGUCGUAAGCCAACAAUAAGAUUUGCCCUUAGCUUGUUCGUACCGAUAUGCAAGUGGAGCUGGAGCUUAUAAGUUUGAGUAAGCAUAUGGCUUAGUAUUAAGUAGGGAAAGGAAGAAUACCACUCAUAAGUUUUAGGCUAUAGGAAUAAGAGUUGCAGUUAAAGCUCAUUACUGCUAUGUCUAUUAGAUAAAGAGAUGCUUCUCACUAGUCUCAUGACCAAGGUCCAGUGCCUUACUUUUCUCAUAGGCGUCUUGUAAUUGACAUUGGAUUGCAAUGCUUUCGAGUUGAUUGGAAUGGUGGAGCCAACUCUAUUCAAGUUAUGGAUGGCUCAACCUACUCCUACUAUUGUCCCCUUCCCCUCUAUGGUAGCUUCACCUCCCAGGUGGCCUCCACUAUCGUUCCGGGUUGCUGAUUUCGGACAGUUUAUCUAAUCACGAUCUUCUUCCACUAUAACCACCACCCCCUACCCCCUUAGACUCUUCCUAUCACCAGCCAGGGAUAGCCGGUACGGUUGUAGUAUUCCGAUCCCUAGUUGUUCAUAUGCUGUAGUUCCUCGGCAAAGGCCAUUGAUUUCUUUUCUUUCAUCAAAAUCAAAUGAAAGCAAAGAACCUAAGGAGAUACGAUUCCUACGCAUUGGGAAGAAGUUGUUCGCCAAAGCACAUUAGGAUUGUGAUAAUGUCAUCUCCACUUUAAUACUAAUAAGAGGAUUAGCGCACGGUACUAUCCCCCAGUCCAGGGCAAAGGUACUUCCAACUUCUCCUGUCCGCCCCUUGAUUUAUCACCCCUUUGGUCUUUUAUUGGUCAUUGAUUUAUAGACGGGAAGAUAAGUACCCUGGCUCGAGCCUAGAUAUCGAUUUACCAUGGAUCUCCGAAACGGGAAACAAGAAAAGUAAUAGAAAUCGUGUGUCAGCGGGAGAUACGAAAUUCACUAGUUUUUACUCUCAAUCCACUGGUGGAGAUACCUGGGGUGGGUUUUCAUGGCCUAUAGUCCCCUGCCACCGAAGCACGAACUACUUUAAAUCGCGGAUCGGCAGCUUCCUGCGACAUUCCUUCAAUGCAAACGUGGUAUUUUUCUACCCUUUGAUAGAUAGCAAGCAGCUCCUAUAACUUGAUCGACAGGACCCAACCAACUAAACUAUUUAUUUUGGCAAAGCUAGACCUUUUGAGGAAAGCAGAUGCAGAUAACGAAAAGAAGCUAUUAGUUUUUCUUGUACUCGACUUUACUGACCGCUUUCGUAAGGAAAGAAGACAAUAGGAAAACCAGGUGAGAAGUUUUAGAGCAACCGAUGCCUACCGUCCGGCGAUAUCCCUAGGUGGAGCUGGCUUACCACAUUCCGAUACCUCGGAACCUUCCUUUCGUCAAUUUUGAAUAACGAAAGUAUCAACCGGCAUGCCAAAACACUUAUUAUGUUUAUGUGAAGUGGAUUCAUCGGAAGAGAGAGGUAAAGCAUUUGAAUUCUUAGCUUUUGAGCAGUAAGUAUUUCGCCCAAGGCGGCCCGGGGGUCUUCUUCGUUUAAGGGGCAGUUGAGCAACCAAUCAUACUACGUAGUACGGGAAUUGUAGUUCACAAGUGAAGACUCCCAUGAGUGACUAGUUGGGUGGUAUAUUAAAAAUGGGUCAGUUAUAAACAAAUCCGUCUUUUACGUGAGACCCUAGAAAUAAAAUAGAACACUCUUUGACGAGAAAGCCGUCUAGCACCUGUAGCUGGCUUGCUUCACGUCCCGCUGUUUGCUUACGAGUUUGGUAGCGAGCCGAGGCAGACGUUUGUAGAUCUUGCCUCGAAGCCUCCUUUCCUUCCUCGGGACCUACCCCGAGGAAGGAGGCUUGAGGCGCGCUAAAUACAAUUGUUUUAUCAACACGGGGUGGAGAAGGCAUUGCAUUCAAUGUGAUUUCCGCUGCCUUGCUUCGAUUUCGUGCGUUUAAAGGCAGGCUUGACCAACCACAUCACAUAAGCCAGCGCAGCGAGAAAACUGAUUCUUCCACGGGAUUCUGCUUCCUACGAAACAUACGUUUUAUGAAUUAACAGUUACCAGUAGCGAGCGAUCCUUUCCUACAAGGUAAGGCCAUGGACAAAGGUUUUUUAUCUACCCCAGCGGGGGCAGUUUUAGGAGUCUUUUUUCAAUCUAUCUUUCUUUGAAUCCGGGCUCGCCUUCACUCGGUCAAGGGGUUGCCCUUUACCUCGUUCCGUGGUCCUUUAUCCCCUCCUUGCAUGCCUAGUUUUAUUCCUUUCCGAGGCCCAAAAGCCAAGCAUCACAAUCAGAGGGUUAAUCCUCCAACCAGAACCAACUUAACCUAUGGAUAGUCUCCGCUGGCCUAGGCGGAGAUGGCCAACUGAUAGAUACUUAUCCUGCCCAGCGGGUGCUACUUCUCUUCUUUCUCCUAUUUGCUUUGCUUGACGGUGAAACCUAUCGAUCAUAUCCGGAAGUUGCUUAACACUACCCUCGAAUGCAAGUCAGCUCUUCGAUUCUCGAGAAUCGGGGUGGGCCAGGUGAUUAUUUGAUUUCCAAUAUGGAUAUAAUGAUGUGUAAGAACUGCACCACCGAUAUAGCACCCUUCCUCGGACUAAGGAUAUUCGUACUCCCAGUGCUCUUGCUUCCUUUGCACCCCGGCUCCGAAGGAUCAGUAGGGAGGACUCCGGAAGCCAAUAUCGGAAUGGAAACAUUCCUCGAAUGAUGGUUGUGAUGCCCCGUUCGUGAUACCCAGGGAAGGGGACUACAUCAUACUUCUCUGAUCAAGUCCUUUCUUUAUUGACAAUAUUUAUUAGUUGACCACUUUACUAGGCUUUCCCUAACGAAAGUAUUCCGAGUGACCACCCUAUUGUCACUUUACUGUCCAGUUCGCGAGUCCCACUCACUUAUUUUAGUCAAACCGACCCUAACUAAAACUAAGUUAAGUAUAGUACUUUUCUCAAUGCUGCCCGCCUCUCAUCUGUUUUCUAAUCAGCUUCUAUCUUCUGUUCCAACCAAGGAAGCUCUUCUAUUCAACCGGUUCGUAUCGCCAGGCCCCUCAGGGGGUACGGUUUAUCUAAUCACACUGCUCGCUACUACAGGGAUUCCUUCUCCUUGCCGAGUUGCAGGUGUUACCACCCUAGAUAUUCUAUUUAUUAUUUGUAUGCUGCCUUAUCUCCUUCAUCUGGAUUUUUGAGAUGAUUGUUAUGUUAGUUCUUCCUUCUAUGUUGUAAGGUGCAAUCUCAUCCGAUGUUUGUCAGUUUGCCCGAGUCUUCCCGAUUCUUAUCCAGCCCAGCUAGAUUGGACCAACAUCAGUGGUGCUUCUAUUAACCCUUGCUUCUCUACUAUUCUUAGGUCUUAGGAGAACCCUAUCUUCCAUAUUCCUAAUCCUCAAGUACAGUAGGCCGCACUCUUCGAUCCUUUGGUCCUAGAACACCUUUUGUCGCAAACUAUACUCUACAUUCCCCCUCGGUCUACUCUGCCAAAGUAGCGACAAGAUUCAAUUGCUGGUUCGAUUCCUGCUCGCUAUCCGACGGUUAAUCCUUUAACCAGAGAUCAGCAUCCAAGGGUUAUUCCUUGAACCAGUGCUUCCUAUCGAAUCGAUCAUUCUUUACUUACUUUAUUAAGAUUAAGUGGGCAUCCCUCGCUGAAAAGAGAAUCAAGCAGGAAAACCCUAGGACGAGGGAUAGUGAUAUUCCUUUCACCGAGCAAGAAACCAUCUCUUUCUUUCACAUAUAUAUAUAUAUAUAUCUAUUUCAAGAAGUCCAAUCCACCACUAUCAAUGGAGCACUCUACUCUAUACUAUUACCGAGUGAAGAUUUCAUCGGAUCCGGCUUGCUUUCAUUGAAGGACAAGAGCGGAUAGUUCCCUUCCCUUUCUUCGAUGAACCCUUAUCUUUCGAUAGAGAAGUACAGCGAGAUGAACGAUAAGUCGAACGACAGAACAACCUGAUGUUACUGCAUCAAGUAAUUCAGAUUGUCAUAUUGAGAUUUUUUCCUUUUUUGUACUUAUUAUUCCAAGCCAAAAGGCUAUGUUCUCCCCCAUACAGCUCGCAAGGCUCAUAACCUAACUGCUCUACUUACUUAAUUCUUAAUUCAGAAAUUCAACAACCCUCCCUUGAUGGGCCAAAACAACAGCAGAGUAGCAGGUCAAAAAGAGAGAGAGAACUGAAACCGAAGAUACUUGGGUUGGGAGAACUCUUCUACAGUACUCCAUUAACAGAAUAAAAGUAUAGACCAAUCAACCUUCCUUAUUGUCCAAGAUCAUUACUUAAGUGUUGGCCAACAGACUAGUACCAGUGGUGGAUAGGAGAGUAAGUCCCAGACAGCUAAGAUAAACUCCCGGGUAGUGUUGUCACUGCACAAGAGGUGCGUAACAGGUGUAAGCGAAGAAGAGAGCAUAACACUGGAUUUAGAAAACGAGCAUAUGAUAUGGUGAGACAACUUUCUCUUUUUUGAGGUAAGAUGCUAGCCAGCCCUCUAUUCAUGGGUGAGAUAUCGACUUUACAGCGUUACCACGUACCAAAUCGUUCACUCUAUCAGGCAGCCGGAAGUGCAUCUCUUCUUUUUGCAGGACUUCUUCCUAGCUCCGUGGAACGAAGGGUUGGAACGAAUAGUAGAAUGAUGGGCAGCAGGAAAGACUAGUUACAGAAAAGCCAGCCCCAGUUCAUUCUGGCUAUUGCAUCCGUGGAAUGCAUAGUUAGCUCCGUUUUCAAGUUAGCUGCUCCCACCCUACCUACUUAUUAGCUUGCCCUGUUUCUAAUGCGCUGUGGACCUUGCUUGUUGUCUUCGUCGACCAAUUCAAUUCCUUGUGUCGGCUCCAAUCUAAGUAGUAAGAAGAAAGAUAGAUAUAUAGAAUUGGGUGGGCAGAGUUGGCUUGCUUCCAAGAGAAUAAACACCUGGCGACUCGAAAACAUGAUGCGCUAGGUUUCGAUCAGUUAAUCGAGAUAGGUUGUACUUUUCAUUCGAUUUUGUUACCACGUGCUUUUCACUUCAUGAUCAGUUAAUCGAGUGCUCAGUCAACUUCCUAUAAGAGUUCUGCUUUUGCUAAUCAAAGACAGACAUCAAUCCCUCAUCCUACUCUGUCUGUCAGUCGGUUACUCAGUUCUGUUAGCUACUCACGUGUCUAUACUAAGCUAAGAUAUUCCUCAUUCUUGCACAGGACAGGAGAGGGGAUUGCCUUAGCUACCGGUACCGAACUCUGAUCAAACUAAAACGAAAAGCUUAACCGAUUCUUGUAGAGUCCUUAGCAUUAGAUAAUGCAUGCGCACACAAGAGGAAUGAACUUGCCUUCUAGUGAUUUGGAAGGAUUGAGUCGGCUGCCCCCAGCCUCGCCCCGCAUCGCCCUCCGGGGGUAGUUACGCCAGUGGAACCAACUCACAAAGCAGCCCAAAAGCAGGAACUUUUCUUGAUUGAAUUGGUUUAAAGGUAAUUCAUCAAUCCUUAAAUUAUUCCAGGAUUCUUUUGGGAUGCUAUCCACCCUUUGAUUUACGAAUUGGCUAUAAUAUUUACUCUGGAUCCCUUCCAGCUGCAAGUCAAGAACGAUCCUUUGAAACAUUUUAGGAUUAUACUCACAAUUGGUUUGGGGGUUUCGUAUUGCAUUGCCCGCACUAUCCAUAUCCUGGAACAGGAUUGAUUUGGCCAUGGAAAGGGCCAGCUAAACGCCUAAGCUCUGAAAGUACGGAUUGCUUCCCUUCAUAGAUUUUAUUAGUUAAUUUGAGAAGUUCCUCUGGGCUCCUGGUCCUUUCCAGAUACUGCAAACUCAAAUUAUGAAAUAUGAGAUCCCUGCUACUCAGAGUCAGAGACCCGAAAGGACGUGGUGGACUCCCUGGUUCCCCCUCAUCUGCAGGAGAAAUUGAAGAAGGUGCAGCCCCGCCCCCUGCGGAGUGACUCGGGGCCGGUGGUGGAGUAGUACUUGACUGGGUCGAGUAGGCACCCUCCUCAGGGCUAAGUGGCGGAUCUAGAAAAUAGUCUGAGCCGUCAAGAACUAUUUCAGGGGGCAGACCCGAGUGCUCUAUUGGAGCUUUGCCCUUGCCCUUAUCUUGGGCUUGAUAGGUAGACUAUAAAGAGAUUCAGUACAAUAAGCCUGACUUUCAUAUUUAUUAAUAUAAUGGGGACCCAGGGAAAGAUAAUAGAGAGCCAUCUGCCAAUAGGCAGAAUAGAUUCCACACUCACUUCAGAUUCUGGGUGGGUAAAGGGAAACAUGAUCUCUAUUCUGAGAGGGAGCGCGGUCGAGCAUAGACUCGGCAACAACCAAUACAUCCAAUACCACAGUAGGCCCACGUACUACAGCUUAAAUGUACUGUAUGUGCCAUCAUAAACCAUUUCAGUCGUAGUACCUAACCUACCAGGCACUUGUUUGCCACCAAGAUAACCUAAUUAACGUGAAACCAACUGUAUUUCCGCUGUAGUACCUACCAGGCUUGUAACCAAGCUAAGUGAAAUUGAAAAACAUUUUCGCUGUACUACCGCUCGUGUAACCGACGUAAUCGGUCUUAAACACCUAUAAUAUAAGGAACUCGUGUACAACCAUAACAUUUAUAUAUUUCACAGGUGUACCACCGUAACCAAUUUCACUCGUGUACUACAAAGAAGAAAAGAAAAAAAAGAAAAUUAUAGCUUUCUUUUUUUUGGUGCGUGCUUUUCGCCUGCCUUCCCGACCACGGAUAGGCUACGGGGCUUUGCACUUCGGCCCCUGUGAAUACCACAUCAAGGUGACAGGAUUCGAACCUAUGGCCCUCUGUACCCAAAACUGAUGCGCUGACCAGACUGCGCUACACCUCGUCUCCCCCCGGGAACAUAUGGUAUGGAUCUACCCAAUCGAAAAAGACUCGAACCGCAGUCGCCCACCCCGCGGCACAGGGAGAUGGAUCUCUUGUUACCAGAAAGGAACUGAACUGGCUUGCCCGGAAAGAAUGGAUUGCUACCCUUGGAGAGCUAAUGGUACUGGACUGAUAGCGCACUGAUUGAACCGACCCCGGACGUACCACUGGGGAACCUGUGGCUGGAGAGAAUCUCUCGCGAUGGAGAAAUGUAAAAUGGGAAGCUCUAUGGAGGAUCGUGUCGUUCGUCAUCGAAAUGGGACUGACUCGCUCGGGAACAGGCAUAGGAUUGAGGAACUUUCUGGCGUAACACACCCGUAAUGGGGCAAUCUGACUAGCUAGUCAAAACCCUUUCCGCAGUGAGCUUUCAAACUUACUUUAGAACUUGCUUCACAGGCUUUGAGGCAUUUUUACACCCUCCCGUAGGCGUAGGCUCACUUUGUUUCAGGGCUUUCCUUUCUCUCCUAAGAUCCCAUCCCAACCAACAAACGAGAGUCUGAUGGGGAUUCUAUUCUGCUUGAACGUUAACUAGACCUGCGCCCAUAUUAGCUUACCGGAAAACGAACUAAAUAGUGGGGGAAGCUCAAAGGAAUUAAGUAAGCCAACUUCAGGCUAUAAAGAUAUUUUUAUUGAGGCUAAACUUAUCUGCCUUUCCUGGUACUUCAAAGUCGAAUGCCACUGCUACUACAUACAAUACAGGAGAAGAUAGAUGCUAGAGGACGGAUACAAGGACGGGGUCAUCGCAAAGAAAAAGAGCUAGAGGUGAGUGAGCCUACGACCACCAAUUGCUUAUCCCCUAUUACCAAUUGCAGCAGACUUGGACUAAUGGAAUUGCUUGAAGUGAAGACCAGUGAACAAAAUGACAAAAAAGAAUUGUUUACCUCUUUCGGGAUAAGGCCUGGAAGAAGCAGGGAUUGAACCAGGGCUUGUUGACAGAGCAGAUAUCAAAAGCCUAUGUUAUCUCAUUUUCAGGGGCCGAGCAAGGGAUGAGCGCCCUCUGAUCUAACGACCAAACAAGCAAGCAACGGCCCGGCCCUUGUUACUAGAAAUAUGAAGCGUGCUAGCGCGCACUUCCUAUUAACCAAUUCACCAAUUUGAAGAUUGGUAAACAAAGAUAAUAGGAGCCGAAGUCAAUCCCUUCUCCUCCCCGAGGGGACGUUAUCGGUCGCUUCGUUCCCUUGUUUACUGAACUCUUUUCAAGAGAUAGGUCUACCUCAUCUGCUUGUAAAUUCAUUAUGUAAAAUAACUCGUAAAUUCAUUGUGCCAGAAUUGAUCACUGAUCAGGUGUGAUCAGUCUCAUCCGUCUAAGAGACUGAUCCGGUGCGAUGAGUCUAUUCCGUGUAAUAUUUUGGAAUUCCUCUUCCAACUCGUCCCGGAAUGGGCGUUAUGGCAAAGAACAAGAAGAAAAAGAAAGAAGAAAUUUGUCCAAUAGUAACAAAUGGUGCCUCCACAGGUUGACAUCUGAUCCAACCUAGUAGUAAGCAAUCCGCCAAAAGCAACCAAAAUAUUCCUUGGUGAAUCGGUCGAAAACUUGAACUACGCACAUACAUUUCUUAAAAAAAAGGUAAAGCCAAGAGAGAUAUAAAAACUGGUGCUAUUGCGGCUACACCCCCCGCUUUGUCAGGUAUACUGUGAAGAAUGACAUGGAUCAGUAGGAAAUACCAUUCCGGCACAAUAUGAGGCGGGGUGGGCAUCGGAUUAGCAGGUAUAUAAUUGUCGGGAUGCCCCAAAACAUUUGGAGCAAAAAAAUCCAAAUGGAAAAAAAGAUAGCAGAAGCUACCCGACCUACAAGAUCCUUUACAUAAAAAUAAGGGUAAGAAGCAAUUUUAUCCAUCUCAGAAUGUACACCCAAUGGAUUAUUUGAUCCAUAUUGAUGCAAUGCAGCCAGAUGAAGAAGACUGGCGCCUGCUAAAAUAAGGUGGAGUAAAUGAUGGAGACUAAAAAAACGAUUUAAGGUGGCAUUGUCCACGGAGAAACCACCCCAAAGCCAAGUCACUAUGGUAUCUCCUACUACUGGUAUGGCGCUAGCUAAGCUUGUAAUUACUGUUGCUCCCCAAAAGCUCAUCUGACCCCAAGGUGGUACGUAUCCUAUAAAAGCUGUCACAAUCAUUAAUAGGAAUAUGACAACUCCGAGACACCAAACAAAUUCCCUAGGACUGCUAUAACUCGCAUGAUAUAGACCACGAAAAAUAUGAAGGUGAACCACAAUGAGAAACAUACUUGCCCCAUUAGCAUGCAUAUAACGGAGCAACCUGCCCCCUUCAACAUCUCUCAUAAUGUGUUCUACGCUGUUGAAAGCUAGAUCCACAUGAGGUGUGUAAUGCAUAGCUAAAAAAA